GAUGAACGCUGGCGGCGUGCCUAACACAUGCAAGUCGAACGAACAGACCAGGAGCUUGCUCGUCUGACGUUAGCGGCGGACGGGAGAGUAACAUGUGGAUAAACUACCUAUCAGACUGGGAUAAUUACGGGAAACCGGAUCUUAUACCGUAUAAUAUAUUGCACCGCAUGGUGCAAUAGUGAAAGUCGGUUGUGCUGUCACUAAUAGAUGGCUACGCGCGGGAUUCGCUGGUUGGUAAUGUAACGGCUUACCAAGGCAAGGAGGCGUAGACGACCGGAACGGGUGGUCGCCCACCUGGGAACGGAGACUGGGUCCAGACACCUGCGGUAGGCAGCAGUCGCGAAUCUUCCGCAAGGGAGGAGAGCCUGACAGAGCAACGCGGCGUGAGUGAUGAAGAUCUUCUGAUCGGAAAACUCUGUUAGUAGGGGAGAACAAAUGUGUAAUUAACUAUGCACGUAUUGACGGUACCUAAUCAGAAAGCCCCGGCUAACUACGUG
Molecule: ribosomal RNA, 497 nt
Filed under: uncultured bacterium
Lineage: Bacteria
Description: partial 16S ribosomal RNA
Rfam family: Bacterial small subunit ribosomal RNA
Source: RNAcentral